This 403-nucleotide ribosomal RNA is filed under the name uncultured bacterium. RNAcentral's name for it is "partial 16S ribosomal RNA". It matches the Rfam family "Bacterial small subunit ribosomal RNA", at positions 30 to 526 of the family's 1533-position model. The record is from RNAcentral.
AUUGAACGCUGGCGGCAGGCCUAACACAUGCAAGUCGAGCGAGCGGCGGACGGGUGAGUAAUGUAUGGGGACUGCCCGAUAGAGUGGGAUCACUACUGGAAACGGUAGCUAAUAACGCAUACUAUCGGAUAACCCAUAUGGGAUUAGCUAGUAGGUGAGGUAAUGGCUCACCUAGGCGACGAUCCCUAGCUGGUCUGAGAGGAUGAUCCGCCACACGGGUACUGAGGCACGGCCCAGACUCCUAGGGAGGAAGAAGUGGUGAAUAUUGCACAAUGGGCGCAAGCGUGAUUCAGCCAUGCCGCGUGGAUGAAGAAGGCCCUAGGGUUGUAAAGUACUUGCAGUCGGGAGGGGUUACCGAUAGAAGAAGCACCGGCUAACUCCGUGCCAGCAGCCGCGGUAAUUC